Molecule: ribosomal RNA, 253 nt
Filed under: uncultured bacterium
Lineage: Bacteria
Description: partial 16S ribosomal RNA
Rfam family: Bacterial small subunit ribosomal RNA
Source: RNAcentral
UACGGGGGGAGCAAGCGUUGUUCGGAUUUACUGGGCGUAAAGCGCACGUAGGCGGCUUUGUAAGUUAGAGGUGAAAGCCCGGGGCUCAACUCCGGAAUUGCCUUUAAGACUGCAUCGCUAGAAUUGUGGAGAGGUAAGUGGAAUUCCGAGUGUAGAGGUGAAAUUCGUAGAUAUUCGGAAGAACACCAGUGGCGAAGGCGACUUACUGGACACAUAUUGACGCUGAGGUGCGAAAGCGUAGGGAGCAAACAGG